Molecule: long non-coding RNA, 537 nt
Organism: Rhinolophus ferrumequinum (greater horseshoe bat)
Lineage: Eukaryota; Metazoa; Chordata; Mammalia; Chiroptera; Rhinolophidae
Exons: 2
Source: RefSeq, a predicted model, not a curated record
GGCGGCGGCAGCGGCGCUACCCACCCUCCGACACAACACCCACCGAACCAACGAGCCACCGAGCCACGGGCCCCCAGGGAGCGGGAGCAGGAGGAGGAGGAGGAGGAGAGCAGGAGGAGGAGAGAAGGAGGAGGAGGAAAGAAUGGAGGCGCCGCGGAGCCCUGAUUAUGCAUGGGCUGGAGCUGCCUCCUCUAACCUGUUCUUCUCCGAGCCCGGCAGCCGGCGGUCCUCAGCCGCCCACAGAACAGGAGCCGAAACAACCGUUCCCGAAGGCUACAGCGUUUAUUUUUCUCUUUUGGGGGUUUUGGCGGUUGUUUCACGGGCUCGCCAACUAGCCCCUUUAAUUAAAAGCUUCAAUAAAAGGCGAUCGCGCCAGGAAUGUACCGGCUCCUCUUCGCUCAGGAUUUGCAUAUUUUUUUAAUGCCCUAAUUUCCUUGAUGUAUGUAAAUGUAGCCGGACGUAGAGGGAGACAGGGAGCUGACGUCAAUGGACGUGACCUCGCAGCUAAACCUUGAACGUGAAGCCGGGAUGGGGGAA